Molecule: ribosomal RNA, 468 nt
Filed under: uncultured bacterium
Lineage: Bacteria
Description: partial 16S ribosomal RNA
Rfam family: Bacterial small subunit ribosomal RNA
Source: RNAcentral
GACGAACGCUGGCGGCGUGCUUAACACAUGCAAGUCGAACGGAAAGGCCCUGCUUUUGUGGGGUGCUCGAGUGGCGAACGGGUGAGUAACACGUGAGUAACCUGCCCUUGACUUUGGGAUAACUUCAGGAAACUGGGGCUAAUACCGGAUAGGAGCUCCUGCUGCAUGGUGGGGGUUGGAAAGUUUCGGCGGUUGGGGAUGGACUCGCGGCUUAUCAGCUUGUUGGUGGGGUAGUGGCUUACCAAGGCUUUGACGGGUAGCCGGCCUGAGAGGGUGACCGGCCACAUUGGGACAGAGGUACGGCCCAGACUCAUACGGGAGGCAGCAGUGGAAAAUAGUGCACAAUGGGCGGAAGCCUGAUGCAGCAACGCCGCGUGCGGGAUGACGGCCGUCGGAUUAUAAACCGCUUUCGCCUGUGACGAAGCGUGAGUGACGGUAAUGGGUAAAGAAGCACCGGCUAACUACGUG